AUUGAACGCUAGCGGCAUGCUUAACACAUGCAAGUCGAACGGCAGCGCGAGGAGCUUGCUCCUUGGCGGCGAGUGGCGGACGGGUGAGUAACGCGUGGGAAUCUACCUUGCAGUUUGGGACAACUCGGGGAAACUCGAGCUAAUACCAAAUAAUGUCUACGGACCAAAGGAGGCCUCUUUACAAUGCUUUCGCUGUUAGAUGAGCCCGCGUCGGAUUAGCUUGUUGGUAAGGUAAUGGCUUACCAAGGCAACGAUCCGUAGCUGGUCUGAGAGGAUGAUCAGCCACACUGGGACUGAGACACGGCCCAGACUCCUACGGGAGGCAGCAGUGGGGAAUAUUGGACAAUGGGGGAAACCCUGAUCCAGCAAUGCCGCGUGUGUGAAGAAGGCCUUCGGGUUGUAAAGCACUUUCAGUGGGGAAGAAAUGCUCAAGGCUAAUACCUUUGAGCUAUGACGUUACCCACAGAAGAAGCACUGGCUAACUCUGUGCCAGCCGCCGCAGUAACAC
This 508-nucleotide ribosomal RNA is filed under the name uncultured bacterium. RNAcentral's name for it is "bacterial SSU rRNA". It matches the Rfam family "Bacterial small subunit ribosomal RNA", at positions 30 to 526 of the family's 1533-position model. The record is from RNAcentral.